UAGGGAAUCUUCGGCAAUGGACGAAAGUCUGACCGAGCAACGCCGCGUGAGUGAAGAAGGUUUUUGGAUCGUAAAACUCUGUUGUUAGAGAAGAACAAUGACGUUAGUAACUGAACGUCCCCUGACGGUAUCUAACCAGAAAGCCACGGCUAACUACGUGCCAGCAGCCGCGGUAAUACGUAGGUGGCAAGCGUUGUCCGGAUUGAUUGGGCGUAAAGCGAGCGCAGGCGGUUUCUUAAGUCUGAUGUGAAAGCCCCCGGCUCAACCGGGGAGGGUCAUUGGAAACAGGGAGACAUGAGUGCAGAAGAGGAAAGUGGAAUUCCAUGUGUAGCGGUGAAAUGCGUAGAUAUAUGGAGAAACACCAGUGGCGAAGGCGGCUCUCUGGUCUGUAACUGACGCUGAGGCUCGAAAGCGUGGGGAGCAAACAGG
RNAcentral lists this ribosomal RNA (429 nucleotides) under Chloroflexota bacterium. RNAcentral's name for it is "Chloroflexi bacterium partial 16S ribosomal RNA". It matches the Rfam family "Bacterial small subunit ribosomal RNA", at positions 355 to 776 of the family's 1533-position model. Lineage: Bacteria; Bacillati; Chloroflexota. The record is from RNAcentral.